This 71-nucleotide transfer RNA is filed under the name Synodus foetens (inshore lizardfish). Its description in RNAcentral is "tRNA-Ser". It matches the Rfam family "tRNA". From Rfam's summary of the family: Transfer RNA (tRNA) molecules are approximately 80 nucleotides in length. Their secondary structure includes four short double-helical elements and three loops (D, anti-codon, and T loops). Further hydrogen bonds mediate the characteristic L-shaped molecular structure. tRNAs have two regions of fundamental functional importance: the anti-codon, which is responsible for specific mRNA codon recognition, and the 3' end, to which the tRNAs corresponding amino acid is attached (by aminoacyl-tRNA synthetases). tRNAs cope with the degeneracy of the genetic code in two manners: having more than one tRNA (with a specific anti-codon) for a particular amino acid; and 'wobble' base-pairing, i.e. permitting non-standard base-pairing at the 3rd anti-codon position. The record is from RNAcentral. Lineage: Eukaryota; Metazoa; Chordata; Actinopteri; Aulopiformes; Synodontidae.
AAGAAAGUGGCAGAGUGGUUUUGUGUUUGGCUUGAAACCAGAUCACGGGGGUUCAAUUCCCUCCUUUCUCG